UGGGGAAUUUUGGACAAUGGGCGAAAGCCUGAUCCAGCAAUGCCGCGUGUGUGAAGAAGGCCUUCGGGUUGUAAAGCACUUUUGUCCGGAAAGAAAUCCUUGGCUCUAAUACAGUCGGGGGAUGACGGUACCGGAAGAAUAAGCACCGGCUAACUACGUGCCAGCAGCCGCGGUAAUACGUAGGGUGCAAGCGUUAAUCGGAAUUACUGGGCGUAAAGCGUGCGCAGGCGGUUUGCUAAGACCGAUGUGAAAUCCCCGGGCGUCAACCUGGGAACUGCAUUGGUGACUGGCAGGCUAGAGUAUGGCAGAGGGGGGUAGAAUUCCACGUGUAGCAGUGAAAUGCGUAGAGAUGUGGAGGAAUACCGAUGGCGAAGGCAGCCCCCUGGCAAUACUGACGCUCAUGCACG
RNAcentral lists this ribosomal RNA (407 nucleotides) under uncultured bacterium. RNAcentral describes it as "partial 16S ribosomal RNA". It matches the Rfam family "Bacterial small subunit ribosomal RNA", at positions 355 to 755 of the family's 1533-position model. The record is from RNAcentral.